UGGGGAAUAUUGGACAAUGGGCGAAAGCCUGAUCCAGCCAUGCCGCGUGUGUGAAGAAGGCCUUCUGGUUGUAAAGCACUUUAAGCGAGGAGGAGGCUACUUGGAUUAAUACUCUAGGAUAGUGGACGUUACUCGCAGAAUACGCACCGGCUAACUCUGUGCCAGCAGCCGCGGUAAUACAGAGGGUGCGAGCGUUAAUCGGAUUUACUGGGCGUAAAGCGUUCGUAGGCGUCUUCUUAAGUCGGAUGUGAAAUCCCUGGGCUUAACCUAGGAACUGCAGUCGAUACUGUGAAGCUAGAGUAUGGGAGAGGAUGGUAGAAUUCCAGGUGUAGCGGUGAAAUGCGUAGAGAUCGGGAGGAAUACCGAUGGCGAAGGCAGCCAUCUGGCCUAAUACUGACGCUGAGGUACGAAAGCAUGGGGAGCGAACAGG
This 430-nucleotide ribosomal RNA is filed under the name Acidobacteriota bacterium. Its description in RNAcentral is "Acidobacteria bacterium partial 16S ribosomal RNA". It matches the Rfam family "Bacterial small subunit ribosomal RNA", at positions 355 to 776 of the family's 1533-position model. Lineage: Bacteria; Pseudomonadati; Acidobacteriota. The record is from RNAcentral.